GAAUUUGAAGUGAUUUAUUACAAUUAGUUUCGACCUAAUAUUAGAUGAUAUUAUCAUCCUUAUUCU
RNAcentral lists this transfer RNA (66 nucleotides) under Boreus elegans. Its description in RNAcentral is "tRNA-Arg". The record is from RNAcentral. Lineage: Eukaryota; Metazoa; Arthropoda; Insecta; Mecoptera; Boreidae.